CCCUUAGAUGUCCGGGGCUGCACGCGCGCUACAAUGGUCGGAGCAGAAUGAAAAGAGACGGCUCCGCGAGGCGGGAGCGUCCUUCGGGGCCUCCCGUUCUUAAUGGUUGACCGUUCCCCGGGUCGACGGGCCCGGGAGAUCGGCUGGAAUCUCGAUCGUGAUCGGGACAGAGUCUUGUAAUUGUUACUCUCAAACGAGGAAUUCCUAGUAGGCGCGAGUCAUGACCUCGCGUCGACUGCGUCCCUGCCCUUUGUACACACCGCCCGUCGCUCCUACCGAUUGAAUGCUCAGGUGAGCCAUUCGGACUUUCAUCAUGCUGGUUUCCAGUUUUGAUGAAGGAAAGUCUUGCGAACCUUAUCAUUUAGAGGAAGGAGAAGUCGUAACA
RNAcentral lists this ribosomal RNA (385 nucleotides) under uncultured eukaryote. Its description in RNAcentral is "partial 18S ribosomal RNA". It matches the Rfam family "Eukaryotic small subunit ribosomal RNA", at positions 1470 to 1796 of the family's 1831-position model. The record is from RNAcentral.